This 775-nucleotide ribosomal RNA is filed under the name uncultured bacterium. Its description in RNAcentral is "bacterial SSU rRNA". It matches the Rfam family "Bacterial small subunit ribosomal RNA", at positions 8 to 796 of the family's 1533-position model. The record is from RNAcentral.
AGAGUUUGAUCAUGGCUCAGAACGAACGCUGGCGGCGUGGAUCAGACAUGCAAGUCGAACGAGGUUAAUCUGGUAGCAAUAUUGGGUUAACCUAGUGGCGAACGGGUGCGUAACACGUGACCAACCUGCCUAGAAGUGGGGGAUAGCUCGCCGAAAGGCGAAUUAAUACCGCAUAUAAUCGUAAGAUUAAAGCAGCAAUGCGCUUUUAGAGGGGGUCGCGGCCUAUCAGCUAGUUGGUGAGGUAAAGGCUUACCAAGGCAGCGACGGGUAGCUGGUCUGAGAGGACGACCAGCCACACUGGAACUGAGACACGGUCCAGACACCUACGGGUGGCAGCAGUCGAGAAUUUUUCUCAAUGGGGGAAACCCUGAAGGAGCGACGCCGCGUGGAGGAUGAAGGCUUUCGGGUUGUAAACUCCUGUCAUCUGGGAACAAAACUCGCAAGAGCUUGAUAGUACCAGAAGAGGAAGAGACGGCUAACUCUGUGCCAGCAGCCGCGGUAAUACAGAGGUCUCAAGCGUUGUUCGGAUUCAUUGGGCGUAAAGGGCGCGUAGGCGGGGGGGUAAGUCUGGUGUGAAAUCUCGGAGCUCAACUCCGAAAUUGCACUGGAUACUGCUCUGCUAGAGGGCUGGAGAGGAGAUCGGAAUUCACGGUGUAGCAGUGAAAUGCGUAGAUAUCGUGAGGAAGACCAGUGGCGAAGGCGGAUCUCUGGACAGCUCCUGACGCUGAGGCGCGAAGGCUAGGGGAGCAAACGGGAUUAGAUACCCUAGUAGUCC